ACAGAAAUAUCAUCUCACAAGAAGUGGUAGGCAUCUAGUGCUGUGGGCGGAUACACGAAGAUGAAUCAAGCGGCUUCUUUAAUGCGAUGAAAUGGUGAUGAAAUUAAACUCUGUUGCUUAUCGAAAAAAUACCUUUUCGGAACUCCGAGAGCCUGCGGCGAUUGGGCAAAAAGCUUUAAGAAAGAGUUGAAUUAGUUUCAAUUCGUCACAAAGAGAAAGCAUCUGCUGAUUGGAAAGUUAAAUCGCGUUGGCUUCAUUUUACCAAAAUGGGAGCGAAAUUCCUGAGCUUCGUUUUCUUCCUUUUGUUUUUAUCUCCAGCCAUGGCAUAUUUAGGGAGCUACCGGUUUGGCAAACGCAACUUGGUGGAGAAGGCUAAUGCACAGGAUGACUUCAAGCAAUUUUGCCAAUUAGCCGAGAAGCUCUGUCAUCAAAAGACUGAAUCCAUAUCCGUGGAA
Pocillopora damicornis (cauliflower coral) is the source of this 455-nucleotide long non-coding RNA. RefSeq lists it as uncharacterized. Lineage: Eukaryota; Metazoa; Cnidaria; Anthozoa; Scleractinia; Pocilloporidae. The record is from RefSeq and is a predicted model, not a curated record.